This 468-nucleotide ribosomal RNA is filed under the name uncultured bacterium. Its description in RNAcentral is "partial 16S ribosomal RNA". The stretch from base 49 to 468 matches the Rfam family "Bacterial small subunit ribosomal RNA", at positions 39 to 507 of the family's 1533-position model. The record is from RNAcentral.
GGGGGGGGGGGGGGGGGGGCGGGGGGGGGGGGGGGCGGGGGGGGGGGCGCGGGGUUUGUGGGGUGCGCGGGGGGCGAGCGGGGGGGUAGCGCGGGGGUAACCUGCCCGUGACUGUGGGGUAACUUCAGGAGACUGGGGCUGAUACCGGAUAGGGGCUCCUGCUGCAUGGUGGGGGUGGGAAAGUUUCGGCGGUUGGGGAUGGACUCGCGGCUUAUCCGCUUGUAGGUGGGGUAGUGGCUUACCAAGGCUUUGACGGGUAGCCGGCCUGAGAGGGUGACCGGCCACAUUGGGACUGAGAUACGGCCCAGACUCCUACGGGAGGCAGCAGUGGGGAAUAUUGCACAAUGGGCGGAAGCCUGAUGCAGCAACGCCGCGUGCGGGAUGACGGCCUUCGGGUUGUAAACCGCUUUCGCCUGUGACGAAGCGUGAGUGACGGUAAUGGGUAAAGAAGCACCGGCUAACUACGUG